RNAcentral lists this ribosomal RNA (454 nucleotides) under uncultured bacterium. Its description in RNAcentral is "bacterial SSU rRNA". It matches the Rfam family "Bacterial small subunit ribosomal RNA", at positions 340 to 786 of the family's 1533-position model. The record is from RNAcentral.
UACGGGAGGCAGCAGUGGGGAAUAUUGCACAAUGGGCGAAAGCCUGAUGCAGCUAUGCCGCGUGUAUGAAGAAGGCCUUAGGGUUGUAAAGUACUUUCAUCGGGGAGGAAAAACAAAACUAAUAAUUUUAUUUCUUGACGUUACCCGAAAAAGAAGCACCGGCUAACUCCGUGCCAGCAGCCGCGGUAAUACGGAGGGUGCUAGCGUUAAUCAGAAUUACUGGGCGUAAAGAGCACGUAGGUGGUUUUUUUAAGUCAGAUGUGAAAUCCCUGGGCUUAACCUAGGAACUGCAUUUUGAAACUGAAAUACUAGAGUAUCGUAGAGGGAGGUAGAAUUCUAGGUGUAGCGGUGAAAUGCGUAGAUAUCUGGAGGAAUCCUGUGGCGAAAGCGGCCUCCUAAACGAAUACUGACACUGAGGUGCGAAAGCGUGGGGAGCAAACAGGGAUUAGAUACC